RNAcentral lists this long non-coding RNA (945 nucleotides) under Homo sapiens (human). RNAcentral's name for it is "HSALNT0228241". Lineage: Eukaryota; Metazoa; Chordata; Mammalia; Primates; Hominidae. The record is from RNAcentral.
AAAUAACAACAUGGAAAUUUCCAUUUCAGCCUCUGAUUGACCACAGGCCAAGUCUCCACUUCAGCCUCUGAUUGGUCAUGAGCCAUCUCCACUUUAGCCUCUGAUUGGUUCUUGGGCCAAUCCUUCAUAGGAUAUAACCAACUGGAGGCCUCUAAAGGGCGCCAAGUGGGUGUUACCAAACUCUUUUAGCUUAAUAAGAACCCUAAACAACAUUAUAAUGGGAGCGUUUGAGCUGCUUGUUCAAGCCUGCUCCCACUCUGUAGAGUAUACUUUUGCUUCAAUAAAUCUGUGCUUUCAUUGUUUUGUUUUUUUUUGUUGUUGUUGCUUUGUUUGUAUGUUUUGUUUGAUUCUUUGUUCAGUGCACCAAGAACCUGGACAACUCACAGUCAAGCAUUUCCAUCCCGUAACAGUUGGAGAAUAAGCCUGAGUGACGGGCCUUCCAUUUAGCAGGUGAAUCUCAGCUGCUACGUAAAUCGUCAAAGCCAGAACUUGGAAUGUGAAUAUAGCCAUGAGAGUGCCUCAGCAAGGAGCCAUUAUGAGGUACUGAUAAACUGACCACCCUAUAAAAACCAAGGGGGCCAGGAAGUUAUAAAUGGUUCAGCAGCAUCCAGGGAAGUGGGAAACACUCACAAACCUGAGAUUAUCUGGGGGGACUCUUGAGCAGCGUUGGGGAAGUCACAACCAGUGGUGAGAGGCUACAAAGGCAAGGAGUACGUGGUGUUUGAGGGUAAAUGAUAGGCUGGACCUGGUCAGGGUGGGGAAAGGGAUUUCCUGGGAAGCGACGCUUGUGCUCUGUUUCCCAGGUCCAUGAAGACAAAGCUGUCAAAAAAUAAAAAUAUAAGGCUUCCCAUCCACACCCAUGUAAUACUGUGAACGGAUCUCAGAGUUUGGUGUCAAAACUCACCAAAACAUACACUUAAAUGGGUGCCUUUUAUCAUAUGUAAG